Molecule: small RNA, 797 nt
Filed under: Mycoplasmoides pneumoniae M129
Lineage: Bacteria; Bacillati; Mycoplasmatota; Mycoplasmoidales; Mycoplasmoidaceae
Description: Mycoplasma pneumoniae M129 ncRNA
Source: RNAcentral
AAUUUCACGGCUUAAUUCUUGUUUAAUUAGGUUUCAUUCUGACUCUUCUAAACUGGAUAAUUUCGCUAACUCUGUUCAAGCUUUUUCAUUUAUUAAUUUAGCAAUUUGUUGGCUUUCGGUAUCAUCUGUUAUAUUAGUUUUUAAAACCAUCAGAUAAACUUGCAAAAUAUUAUUUAGUGCAAUCUUAUUCUUUUUAAAGAGUUUAUAAAUGGCAUAAAAGCGUUCAUUUUGGUUAAGUUUACGUAAUGGUUCCCUAAUUAAGCGUGUGUUUAAAUCUUGAAUCUUGGGAUUAGCAAAACGGACUAAGUUAUUUUUGCCAUAACUUAACAAAUUAUUUUUAUUAAAUUCAGGAUAUUCAGCACAAAGGGCAUCAAUAAUUUGUUGGGCUAAUUUUUCUACAAAAGUCAAAUUACUUUUAACUUGCAAUGUUUCAUGUACAUACUUAAGCUUUUGUUGAAAGCCUAAAAGUCCAAUAACACUGUGCAGUGCAUUGACUAAUAAAAGUUUUUUAAUAAUGAAUCUAUCUAAACUAUUCUUUUGAUUUACUCCCUUAAUUUCUAGCGGGAAAGUUUCAGCAUAAAUUUCUGAAUACUUCUCGCAAUAAAUAUCCAAGAAAUUCGCUUUCUUUUCGAAGUUAGGUGCAAUUGUAUCGAUUACCACAUCCACAAAAUUUACUUGUGUGUUAUUUAAUUGCAAAAUGUUUUUAAAGUUAGAACUAAUCCGAAAGCCGUUUUCAAAGCAAAGCACUAUAGCCCUUUUAUGGAACUUAGCUUUGUCAAACAAAGUUUUUAAACUAG